This 443-nucleotide ribosomal RNA is filed under the name uncultured bacterium. RNAcentral's name for it is "partial 16S ribosomal RNA". It matches the Rfam family "Bacterial small subunit ribosomal RNA", at positions 338 to 795 of the family's 1533-position model. The record is from RNAcentral.
CCUACGGGGGGCAGCAGUGGGGGAUAUUGGACAAUGGGGGAAACCCUGAUCCAGCGACGCCGCGUGAGUGAAGAAGUAUUUCGGUAUGUAAAGCUCUAUCAGCAGGGAAGAAAGAAAUGACGGUACCCGAGUAAGAAGCCCCGGCUAACUACGUGCCAGCAGCCGCGGUAAUACGUAGGGGGCAAGCGUUAUCCGGAAUUACUGGGUGUAAAGGGAGCGUAGACGGUAAUGCAAGUCUGGAGGGAAAGGCGGGGGGCCAACCCCCGGACUGCUCUGGAAACUGUGUAACUGGAGUGCAGGAGAGGCAGGCGGAAUUCCUAGUGUAGCGGUGAAAUGCGUAGAUAUUAGGAGGAACACCAGUGGCGAAGGCGGCCUGCUGGACUGUAACUGACGUUGAGGCUCGAAAGCGUGGGGAGCAAACAGGAUUAGAUACCCGAGUAGUC